Molecule: long non-coding RNA, 450 nt
Filed under: Solanum tuberosum (potato)
Lineage: Eukaryota; Viridiplantae; Streptophyta; Magnoliopsida; Solanales; Solanaceae
Description: long non-coding RNA (STUB_LNC007718)
Source: RNAcentral
UUUCUAAUAGAAUUGUAUAAACCUAUUCCUAUUCUAAUAGGAUUGUAUAAACCUAUUCCUAUUCUAAUAGGAUUGUAUAAACCUAUUCCUAUUCUAAUAGGAUUGUAUAAACCUAUUCCUAUUCUAAUAGGAUUGUAUAAACCUAUUCCUAUUCUAAUAGGAUUGUAUAAACCUAUUCCUAUUCUAAUAGGAUUGUAUAAACCUAUUCCUAUUCUAAUAGGAUUGUAUAAACCUAUUCCUAUUCUAAUAGGAUUGUAUAAACCUAUUCAUAUUCUAACAAGGGCCAUGUUUUGUUUGGAUUUCAUCUGAUAAAACUAAUCGACUUAGUGCCCCCAAGGCCUAGCUCAAGUGGCAAAAGGUGGAGGGUUUGUGGCUUAGGUCGCAGGUUCAAGCCCCACACCAUGCAAAGCGAAGCCCGGUAUUUAAGUGGAGAAGGGUAGAGGGGCGGGC